Molecule: ribosomal RNA, 365 nt
Filed under: uncultured Thermus sp.
Lineage: Bacteria; Thermotogati; Deinococcota; Deinococci; Thermales; Thermaceae
Description: bacterial SSU rRNA
Rfam family: Bacterial small subunit ribosomal RNA
Source: RNAcentral
GCGAGGGGAGCCCUAGCACAGGUGCUGCAUGGCCGUCGUCAGCUCGUGCCGUGAGGUGUUGGGUUAAGUCCCGCAACGAGCGCAACCCCCGCCGUUAGUUGCCAGCGGUUCGGCCGGGCACUCUAACGGGACUGCCCGCGAAAGCGGGAGGAAGGAGGGGACGACGUCUGGUCAGCAUGGCCCUUACGGCCUGGGCGACACACGUGCUACAAUGCCCACUACAAAGCGAUGCCACCCGGCAACGGGGAGCUAAUCGCAAAAAGGUGGGCCCAGUUCGGAUUGGGGUCUGCAACCCGACCCCAUGAAGCCGGAAUCGCUAGUAAUCGCGGAUCAGCCAUGCCGCGGUGAAUACGUUCCCGGGCCUU